RNAcentral lists this ribosomal RNA (71 nucleotides) under Aliiroseovarius crassostreae. Its description in RNAcentral is "partial 16S ribosomal RNA". It matches the Rfam family "Bacterial small subunit ribosomal RNA", at positions 1463 to 1533 of the family's 1533-position model. Lineage: Bacteria; Pseudomonadati; Pseudomonadota; Alphaproteobacteria; Rhodobacterales; Paracoccaceae. The record is from RNAcentral.
UAGGAUCAGCGACUGGGGUGAAGUCGUAACAAGGUAGCCGUAGGGGAACCUGCGGCUGGAUCACCUCCUUU